Non-coding RNA from Pteropus alecto (black flying fox), 119 nucleotides. NCBI's taxonomy places the organism in Eukaryota, Metazoa, Chordata, Mammalia, Chiroptera, Pteropodidae. The record is from Rfam.
GUCUAUGGCCAUGCUACCCUGAACAAGCCCGAUCUUGUUUGAUCUUGGAAGCUAAGCAGGGUUGGGCCUGGUUAGUACUUGGAUGGGAGACCACCUAGGAAAACCAGGUGCUGUAGGUG